GAUGAACGCUGGCGGCGUGCCUAAUACAUGCAAGUCGAGCGAACAGACGAGGAGCUUGCUCCUCUGACGUUAGCGGCGGACGGGUGAGUAACACGUGGAUAACCUACCUAUAAGACUGGGAUAACUUCGGGAAACCGGAGCUAAUACCGGAUAAUAUAUUGAACCGCAUGGUUCAAUAGUGAAAGACGGUUUUGCUGUCACUUAUAGAUGGAUCCGCGCCGCAUUAGCUAGUUGGUAAGGUAACGGCUUACCAAGGCGACGAUGCGUAGCCGACCUGAGAGGGUGAUCGGCCACACUGGAACGGAGACACGGUCCAGACUCCUACGGGAGGCAGCAGUAGGGAAUCUUCCGCAAUGGGCGAAAGCCUGACGGAGCAACGCCGCGUGAGUGAUGAAGGUCUUCGGAUCGUAAAACUCUGUUAUGAGGGAAGAACAAAUGUGUAAGUAACUAUGCACGUCUUGACGGUACCUAAUCAGAAAGCCACGGCUAACUACGUG
This 497-nucleotide ribosomal RNA is filed under the name uncultured bacterium. Its description in RNAcentral is "partial 16S ribosomal RNA". It matches the Rfam family "Bacterial small subunit ribosomal RNA", at positions 28 to 507 of the family's 1533-position model. The record is from RNAcentral.